GACAGAGGGUGCAAACGUUGCUCGGAAUUACUGGGCGUAAAGCGCGUGUAGGUGGAUUGGUGUGUCAGAUGUGAAAUCCCUGGGCUCAACCCAGGAACUGCACCUGAAACUACCAGUCUUGAGUGGUGGAGAGGGAAGUGGAAUUCCUGGUGUAGAGGUGAAAUUCGUAGAUAUCAGGAGGAACACCAGUGGCGAAGGCGGCUUCCUGGACACCAACUGACGCUGAGGCGCGAAAGCCAGGGGAGCAAACGGG
Molecule: ribosomal RNA, 253 nt
Filed under: uncultured bacterium
Lineage: Bacteria
Description: partial 16S ribosomal RNA
Rfam family: Bacterial small subunit ribosomal RNA
Source: RNAcentral